AGACCCGAAACCCGGUGAUCUAGCCAUGGGCAGGUUGAAGGUUGGGUAACACUAACUGGAGGACCGAACCGACUAAUGUUGAAAAAUUAGCGGAUGACUUGUGGCUGGGGGUGAAAGGCCAAUCAAACCGGGAGAUAGCUGGUUCUCCCCGAAAGCUAUUUAGGUAGCGCCUCGUGAAUUCAUCUCCGGGGGUAGAGCACUGUUUCGGCAAGGGGGUCAUCCCGACUUACCAACCCGAUGCAAACUGCGAAUACCGGAGAAUGUUAUCACGGGAGACACACGGCGGGUGCUAACGUCCGUCGUGAAGAGGGAAACAACCCAGACCGCCAGCUAAGGUCCCAAAGUCAUGGUUAAGUGGGAAACGAUGUGGGAAGGCCCAGACAGCCAGGAUGUUGGCUUAGAAGCAGCCAUCAUUUAAAGAAAGCGUAAUAGCUCACUGGUCGAGUCGGCCUGCGCGGAAGAUGUAACGGGGCUAAACCAUGCACCGAAGCUGCGGCAGCGACACUGUGUGUUGUUGGGUAGGGGAGCGUUCUGUAAGCCUGUGAAGGUGUGCUGUGAGGCAUGCUGGAGGUAUCAGAAGUGCGAAUGCUGACAUAAGUAACGAUAAAGCGGGUGAAAAGCCCGCUCGCCGGAAGACCAAGGGUUCCUGUCCAACGUUAAUCGGGGCAGGGUGAGUCGACCCCUAAGGCGAGGCCGAAAGGCGUAGUCGAUGGGAAACAGGUUAAUAUUCCUGUACUUGGUGUUACUGCGAAGGGGGGACGGAGAAGGCUAUGUUGGCCGGGCGACGGUUGUCCCGGUUUAAGCGUGUAGGCUGGUUUUCCAGGCAAAUCCGGAAAAUCAAGGCUGAGGCGUGAUGACGAGGCACUACGGUGCUGAAGCAACAAAUGCCCUGCUUCCAGGAAAAGCCUCUAAGCAUCAGGUAACAUCAAAUCGUACCCCAAACCGACACAGGUGGUCAGGUAGAGAAUACCAAGGCGCUUGAGAGAACUCGGGUGAAGGAACUAGGCAAAAUGGUGCCGUAACUUCGGGAGAAGGCACGCUGAUAUGUAGGUGAAGUCCCUCGCGGAUGGAGCUGAAAUCAGUCGAAGAUACCAGCUGGCUGCAACUGUUUAUUAAAAACACAGCACUGUGCAAACACGAAAGUGGACGUAUACGGUGUGACGCCUGCCCGGUGCCGGAAGGUUAAUUGAUGGGGUCAGCGCAAGCGAAGCUCUUGAUCGAAGCCCCGGUAAACGGCGGCCGUAACUAUAACGGUCCUAAGGUAGCGAAAUUCCUUGUCGGGUAAGUUCCGACCUGCACGAAUGGCGUAAUGAUGGCCAGGCUGUCUCCACCCGAGACUCAGUGAAAUUGAACUCGCUGUGAAGAUGCAGUGUACCCGCGGCAAGACGGAAAGACCCCGUGAACCUUUACUAUAGCUUGACACUGAACAUUGAGCCUUGAUGUGUAGGAUAGGUGGGAGGCUUUGAAGUGUGGACGCCAGUCUGCAUGGAGCCGACCUUGAAAUACCACCCUUUAAUGUUUGAUGUUCUAACGUGGACCCGUGAUCCGGGUUGCGGACAGUGUCUGGUGGGUAGUUUGACUGGGGCGGUCUCCUCCUAAAGAGUAACGGAGGAGCACGAAGGUUGGCUAAUCCUGGUCGGACAUCAGGAGGUUAGUGCAAUGGCAUAAGCCAGCUUGACUGCGAGCGUGACGGCGCGAGCAGGUGCGAAAGCAGGUCAUAGUGAUCCGGUGGUUCUGAAUGGAAGGGCCAUCGCUCAACGGAUAAAAGGUACUCCGGGGAUAACAGGCUGAUACCGCCCAAGAGUUCAUAUCGACGGCGGUGUUUGGCACCUCGAUGUCGGCUCAUCACAUCCUGGGGCUGAAGUAGGUCCCAAGGGUAUGGCUGUUCGCCAUUUAAAGUGGUACGCGAGCUGGGUUUAGAACGUCGUGAGACAGUUCGGUCCCUAUCUGCCGUGGGCGCUGGAGAACUGAGGGGGGCUGCUCCUAGUACGAGAGGACCGGAGUGGACGCAUCACUGGUGUUCGGGUUGUCAUGCCAAUGGCACUGCCCGGUAGCUAAAUGCGGAAGAGAUAAGUGCUGAAAGCAUCUAAGCACGAAACUUGCCCCGAGAUGAGU
Molecule: ribosomal RNA, 2115 nt
Filed under: Escherichia coli
Lineage: Bacteria; Pseudomonadati; Pseudomonadota; Gammaproteobacteria; Enterobacterales; Enterobacteriaceae
Description: partial 23S ribosomal RNA
Rfam family: Bacterial large subunit ribosomal RNA
Source: RNAcentral